Molecule: ribosomal RNA, 406 nt
Filed under: uncultured bacterium
Lineage: Bacteria
Description: partial 16S ribosomal RNA
Rfam family: Bacterial small subunit ribosomal RNA
Source: RNAcentral
AUUGAACGCUGGCGGCAGGCCUAACACAUGCAAGUCGAACGAGUAGCGGACGGGUGAGUAGUGUCUGGGAAACUGCCUGAUGUAGGGGGCUAACUACUGGAAACGGUAGCUAAUACCGCAUACCAUCGGAUGUGCCCACAUGGGAUUAGCUAGUAGGUGGGGUAAAGGCUCACCUAGGCGACGAUGCCUAGCUGGUCUGAGAGGAUGACCAGCCACACUGGAACUGAGACACGGUCCAGACUCCUACGUGAGGCAGCAGUGGGGAAUAUUGCACAAUGGGCGAAAGCCUGACGGAGCAAUGCCGCGUGUAUGAAGAAGGCUUUCGGGUUGUAAAGUACUUUUAGCGGGGAGGCGGUAUCCAAAGAAGAAGCCACGGCUAACUCCGUGCCAGCAGCCGCGGUAAUAC